GUUGAGGCCUAGUAAUUGGAUGUUUGUUGAUGACGUCACCCUCUCCCAAGCCAUCCAUCGUAACUCCCCCCUGGAAUACAACAGGAUCUCAACUCUAUCGAUGAGUAAUAACAUGAAAUUACACCGUACGUAAAUGGCUUACAUAAACAAAAGGAAUAUUGUUCUUGCUUCGUUCUUUAGAAAAUCCAUUCUAUAGACCCAUUGCACAUGAUGUCACAGCGCCGGUGACGAUGAUCUGGGGGAC
Paramuricea clavata is the source of this 244-nucleotide non-coding RNA. Lineage: Eukaryota; Metazoa; Cnidaria; Anthozoa; Malacalcyonacea; Plexauridae. The record is from the annotation of a GenBank genome assembly.